CCACUUUUACAAACCCCAAGGGCGUUGGCCUCGGCCUCCGCCCGCCCCACACACCGCGCACUUGAUAUGUUUAGUAGUGGGGAGGAGCACUUCUCCCCACCACUCACACAAACCCAGUUCCCAGUCUCCCUCUCACCUUUUCGGCUGAGAAGGAGGAAGACGAACCCCAAGCGACCACUUCUCCAAUACAGAGACCAAACACAAACA
This 207-nucleotide unclassified non-coding RNA is filed under the name uncultured fungus. RNAcentral's name for it is "sequence contains ITS1, 5.8S rRNA gene". Lineage: Eukaryota; Fungi. The record is from RNAcentral.